CCGGCGCACGGGUGAGUAACACGUAUGCAACCUGGCCGUCACAGGUGGAUAACCGGAAGAAAUUCCGACUAAUACAGCAUAACACUCCUGAGGGACAUCCCUUGGGAGUCAAAGGAGGCAACUCCGGUGACGGAUGGGCAUGCGGCGCAUUAGGUAGUUGGUGGGGCAACGGCCCACCAAGCCGACGAUGCGUAGGGGUUCUGAGAGGAAGGUCCCCCACAUUGGAACUGAGACACGGUCCAAACUCCUACGGGAGGCAGCAG
RNAcentral lists this ribosomal RNA (263 nucleotides) under uncultured bacterium. RNAcentral's name for it is "partial 16S ribosomal RNA". It matches the Rfam family "Bacterial small subunit ribosomal RNA", at positions 95 to 354 of the family's 1533-position model. The record is from RNAcentral.